GACGAACGCUGGCGGCGUGCUUAAUACAUGCAAGUCGAACGGAAAGGCCCUGCUUUUGUGGGGUGCUCGAGUGGCGAACGGGUGAGUAACACGUGAGUAACCUGCCCUUGACUUUGGGAUAACUUCAGGAAACUGGGGCUAAUAUCGGAUAGGAGCUCCUGCUGCAUGGUGGGGGUUGGAAAGUUUCGGCGGUUGGGGAUGGACUCGCGGCUUAUCAGCUUGUUGGUGGGGUAGUGGCUUACCAAGGCUUUGACGGGUAGCCGGCCUGAGAGGGUGACCGGCGACAUUGGGCCUGAGCUACGGCCCAGACUCCUACGGGAGGCAGCAGUGGAGAAUAUUGCACAGUAGGCGGAAGCCUGAUGCAGCAACGCCGCGUGCGGGAUGACGGCCUUCGGGUUGUAAACCGCUUUCGCCUGUGACGAAGCGUGAGUGACGGUAAUGGGUAAAGAAGCACCGGCUAACUACGUG
Molecule: ribosomal RNA, 468 nt
Filed under: uncultured bacterium
Lineage: Bacteria
Description: partial 16S ribosomal RNA
Rfam family: Bacterial small subunit ribosomal RNA
Source: RNAcentral